Molecule: ribosomal RNA, 446 nt
Filed under: uncultured Sphingobacteriales bacterium
Lineage: Bacteria; Pseudomonadati; Bacteroidota; Sphingobacteriia; Sphingobacteriales
Description: bacterial SSU rRNA
Rfam family: Bacterial small subunit ribosomal RNA
Source: RNAcentral
CGUAUGUGGUUUAAUUCGAUGAUACGCGAGGAACCUUACCUGGGCUCGAACGUAAGAUGACUGUAGGUGAAAGCUUACAUCUCUUCGGAGCAUUUUACGAGGUGCUGCAUGGUUGUCGUCAGCUCGUGCCGUGAGGUGUCGGGUUAAGUCCCAUAACGAGCGCAACCCCUACCUUUAGUUGCCAUCAGGUUAAGCUGGGGACUCUAAAGGAACUGCCUACGCAAGUAGUGAGGAAGGCGGGGAUGACGUCAAAUCAGCACGGCCCUUACGUCCAGGGCUACACACGUGCUACAAUGGCCGAUACAGAGGGCAGCUACCUGGUGACAGGAUGCAAAUCUCCAAAGUCGGUCUCAGUUCGGAUCGGAGUCUGCAACCCGACUCCGUGAAGUUGGAUUCGCUAGUAAUCGCGCAUCAGCCAUGGCGCGGUGAAUACGUUCCCGGGCCUU